Dermacentor andersoni is the source of this 351-nucleotide long non-coding RNA. RefSeq lists it as uncharacterized. The record is from RefSeq and is a predicted model, not a curated record. NCBI's taxonomy places the organism in Eukaryota, Metazoa, Arthropoda, Arachnida, Ixodida, Ixodidae.
CCAGGUUGCGCCGGCUGCCGAAAUGAAGAACUGCUCAGUCGUGGUCAUGCUGCUUGCCCUGACUGUGUUCACGGGCAUCGUGGCCAGAAAAGUGCAACCUGAAUAUGCGAAAAACAUCUGUAUUGGCCACUGGGAAUUCGGACACGGUUGUUCGCAUCAUUACCUGUGUAGUGAUUACUGCGAGAGCAAGGGCUUCGCUUCCGGCGGUUGCGGAGGAGACUACAGCGCAAUGUGCUGGUGCUACAAAAAAUAAUGCAUGUGCACGUUCCUUGUUUCCUCACUUUUUGCGCCUUACUUGCAGUGUCUUCCAUCGGUGGUUCGUUCACGAAUAACGAUGCGAAUAAAAGUACC